UUGCAUUCCUUUAAGGAGUCAAAUCUGUUGCUUACAGUGUUUAUUACUUUUAAACAUAUGGGAGUACAGCUGAUAUCUGUCCACGUCUCCCUAGAGCUAGUAAACAGACUGGAACCAGCACCGCAGCGAUGUCUUCAUUGUGCUGUUGACCUUGCGCAGGCUCUCCAAGUUAAUUGGAUUUCCAGGUUUUGCAGCCAGUCACCACAAUUGAUCACGGAAAAGAUGGAUUUAUUGCUUACCAGGCAGAAUUCUGACACUCUUCAGAGGAUAGAAAA
This is a long non-coding RNA of Mastomys coucha (southern multimammate mouse), 275 nucleotides long. RefSeq lists it as uncharacterized. The record is from RefSeq and is a predicted model, not a curated record. NCBI's taxonomy places the organism in Eukaryota, Metazoa, Chordata, Mammalia, Rodentia, Muridae. The transcript is spliced from 2 exons.